GAACAAUCUAGCAGGAGAUGGCCCAUAUCUAUGGGACUGAUUUGUGCUAAUAACGCCCAUUGUAUGGACUGAUAACAGCCGAAGCGAGAAGGGUCUUGCUGCAGCCACUGUGGAGCUCCACAGUAACCGGAUACACGUGACCUCCACAGUAGCCGGAAGCACGUGACCUCCACAGUAGCCGGAAACACGUGACCUCCACACUAGCCGUAAACAUUCAUGGAUACCGUGGAAGUCUUGCAAGUUGAUCACAAAGAUGCACACAUCAAUCUGAAAUUCGGGCUUAAAGCCAGAAUUGCAGGAAUGCAACACGUGUUGCAGAGGACUCUUUCACUGCCCUCUGUGCCCCACUUUCAGCCCUACUGUCAGGGCAAAGAUUGAGGAGCAUCUCAGUGUGCAUAUAAAAAAUGCUUUGCCUUUCAAAGAUAAAAUGAUAUGCCGGUGCAGGCUGCCUUGUAGGACAACAGGACACUUUCACCGCCCUGUCUGUAAGAUUACAAUCAUACGGCGUGGGGAUAUGGCAAGGCAUUUAUUGUCUUGUCAGCAUUCUUCAAUGCCAAGUCAGCCACCAUUAUCAGGACUGCUCCCCGCUGAACUCUCCGAGGAGACCCGUAUUCCUCCGGCAGUACUCUUCGAGGAGCCCCGUUUCCCCCCCCAAGCUGAUGGAAAGUCCAUGAAAAUGACAUGCCCUCACUGUGGCCUUACUCUUCAUAGCUCUGGCAAGCUAUUUGCACACUGGAGAGAGGAAGCCAAAGCUGUGCUUGAAGGACAACACGUGCCCAUUUUCAGACUGAAAAAGCGCAAGUUCCAGGAAGUCAGUCAGGAGCCAGCAGUUGUUGAAGAUCUGCGUCCUGCUGUGCCUUAUUUUGGUUGUCCAAAAUAAGGCACUUUUCUGUGGACAUGUAACAAUGCCCAAAUAUGUGUCCUUAAAUCAAGAGCAGAGGGUCUUAAUAGACAUGUCAGAGGAAGAAGACACUGGAGCAAGGGACUUGUUCCUCUUUGUUUUUCAGUUUGCAGAGGACAUGGAGCUCUUUUUGAAAGCAUGUGCUGAUGAUCAGGGGCUAAGGGUCAGUGCUAUGUUUGACAUGUAAUGGACAAAUGAAGGCACUGGCUGUGUUUGUUUGUUUGUUUAAUAUGUUGUUGUUGUUGUUGUUGUUUUUUUGUUUUGUUUUUUUGCGUAGUACAAAAUUCCAAUUAAACUUAUUUCAAAAUGUUGUUCACUUGAUUCUGUGUCCAUACUUAUAAUAAAUGAUUACAGUGAAACAGCAUUAAAUGUAAAUGUAACAGCAUUUUUUUAAACUUAUAAUUUCAAAAUAAAAAGCUUAUUAUUGAU
Molecule: long non-coding RNA, 1330 nt
Organism: Astatotilapia calliptera (eastern happy)
Lineage: Eukaryota; Metazoa; Chordata; Actinopteri; Cichliformes; Cichlidae
Source: Ensembl